UACGUAGGCGGAAGAUUAAGUCAGUAGUGAAAUCCUGCAGCUUAACUGUAGAACUGUUAUUGAUACUGGUUUUCUUGAAUGUAGUUGAGGUAGGCGGAAUGUGUAAUGUAGCGGUGAAAUGCUUAGAUAUUACACAGAACACCGAUUGCGAAGGCAGCUUACUAAGCUACUAUUGACGCUGAGGUACGAAAGCGUGGGGAGCGAACAGGAUUAGAUACCCUGGUAGUCC
Molecule: ribosomal RNA, 229 nt
Filed under: uncultured bacterium
Lineage: Bacteria
Description: partial 16S ribosomal RNA
Rfam family: Bacterial small subunit ribosomal RNA
Source: RNAcentral